Molecule: ribosomal RNA, 105 nt
Filed under: Pogona vitticeps (central bearded dragon)
Lineage: Eukaryota; Metazoa; Chordata; Lepidosauria; Squamata; Agamidae
Source: RNAcentral
CUCUUGUGUCACUCUGAACACACCAGAUCUUGUCUGAUUCUGGAAGCUAAGCAGGGUCAGGGUGGGCGACUACUUCAAUGGUAGACUACCAUGAAAUAUAAGGGA